UCCGGUUUGUCACCGGCAGUCUCCCAUGAGUCCCCAACUGAAUGCUGGCAACAUGGGACGGGGGUUGCGCUCGUUGCGGGACUUAACCCAACAUCUCACGACACGAGCUGACGACGGCCAUGCACCACCUGUGUAGGGCCCCGAAGGACACCGUAUCUCUACGGCUUUUCCCUACAUGUCAAGCCCAGGUAAGGUUCUUCGCGUUGCCUCGAAUUAAGCAACAUGCUCCGCUGCUUGUGCGGGCCCCCGUCAAUUCCUUUGAGUUUUAGCCUUGCGGCCGUACUCCCCAGGCGGGGCGCUUAAUGCGUUAGCUACGGCACAGGAGAUCGGAGAGACCCCCCACACCUAGCGCCCAACGUUUACAGCGUGGACUAC
This 375-nucleotide unclassified non-coding RNA is filed under the name uncultured Actinomycetes bacterium. RNAcentral's name for it is "uncultured actinobacterium contains 16S-23S intergenic spacer region". Lineage: Bacteria; Bacillati; Actinomycetota; Actinomycetes. The record is from RNAcentral.